RNAcentral lists this ribosomal RNA (490 nucleotides) under uncultured bacterium. RNAcentral's name for it is "partial 16S ribosomal RNA". It matches the Rfam family "Bacterial small subunit ribosomal RNA", at positions 28 to 507 of the family's 1533-position model. The record is from RNAcentral.
GAUGAACGCUAGCGAUAGGCUUAACACAUGCAAGUCGAGGGGCAGCAUGGUCUUAGCUUGCUAAGACUGAUGGCGACCGGCGCACGGGUGCGUAACGCGUAUGCAACUUGCCUCACAGAGGGGGAUAACCCGUCGAAAGACGGACUAAUACCGCGUACACUCUAUUUUGGGCAUCCAAGGUAGAGGAAAUGAAAUUCGCUGUGAGAUAGGCAUGCGUCCCAUUAGCUAGUUGGUGAGGUAACGGCUCACCAAGGCGACGAUGGGUAGGGGAACUGAGAGGUUGAACCCCCACACUGGUACUGAGACACGGACCAGACUCCUACGGGAGGCAGCAGUGAGGAAUAGUGGGCAAUGGGCGAGGGCCUGAACCAGCCAAGUCGCGUGAAGGAGGACUGUCUUAUGGAUUGUAAACUUCUUUUGUAGGGGAAUAAAGAGGGGCACGUGUGCCCCAGUGAAUGUACCCGACGAAUAAGCAUCGGCUAACUCCGUG